Molecule: ribosomal RNA, 589 nt
Filed under: Daphnia obtusa
Lineage: Eukaryota; Metazoa; Arthropoda; Branchiopoda; Diplostraca; Daphniidae
Description: bacterial SSU rRNA
Rfam family: Eukaryotic small subunit ribosomal RNA
Source: RNAcentral
AGCUCUUUCUUGAUUCGGUGGGUGGUGGUGCAUGGCCGUUCUUAGUUGGUGGAGCGAUUUGUCUGGUUAAUUCCGAUAACGAACGAGACUCUAGCCUGCUAAAUAGGUGACGGGUUUUAUCAAUUGAAACCGAAGGGAGUACGGAGGCGUCGGGAUCAGGUGGCGGCGAUUCGGGUCUCGGUGGGACUGGUUCCUUUAGUGAGGCACCCUCUCGGCUUGGAUUGUUUCGUUGUGCUUUGUAUUUGUUGGGUGUACGGCCUUCACGGGUUGGUUGCCUGAUGGGUGUGAGGUAUGGCAGGGCCGUCUUUGUCGGGAAUGUCUCGCGGGGGCUGGCUCUAUUGUUAUUCGGUCGUCGUCAUCCCCGGCGAUACCUUCUGCUCUCGCGUCCGUCACGCAGUCUUCUUAGAGGGACAAGCGGCGUCCAGCCGCGUGACAGUGAGCAAUAACAGGUCUGUGAUGCCCUUAGAUGUCCUGGGCCGCACGCGCGCUACACUGAAGGAAUCAGCGUGUUUCACUCUCCCUGUCCGAAAGGACCGGGUAACCGCUGAACCUCCUUCGUGGUUGGGAUUGGGGACUGCAAUGAUCCCCA